CUUUCUGAGACAUGUUUCUGCCUUGCAUUUCACGAGAAACUUCACACCUCCUUCAGAGUUUGUCAUACCCAUGAAUACUGAGCUAAACCCUGCUUGCUCGAGGCUUCAGGGAGCUCUAGAAGGUGUUAACCAGUAAGAUCCUGAGAAUUGAAGUCCUGGGCCUGAUGGUGCAGUACCAUGGGAGUCACCUGAUGAUGCCUAGGUCCCUGAGUAAAUCCAAAGGCAUCCCGUAGGGUCAGAGGCUCUGGGUUGACUCUACCAGGCCAUCCUCAGUGAGUGGGAACACAGGUGGGAUGUCACAUUGUCAGACAUCACCCUUUCUCCAUCUGUGUUUCAACAGGGUCGUCUGACAGUCUUUACUUCCAGCUAACACGUAUGCUUCAGGGACUGGGAGUUACUAAGCUGCCUGAAGUGUGUAGGAGGGAUAUUAAAGAAUGUUACAGGUGGAGAGGACCUUGGAACAUCUGGGCCGAGCGUUCUGGCACACCAUUUUGCUGGCUUCCCCCACCCGGCCGCCCCUUUUCUGGGUGUAAUAUGAACACCAUUUGCAUCUAAUGUUUCAGUAUUCUUUCUCCGCAGACAUCAAGGACUUCGGUGACUACCUGUGUUAGCAAAUUUGGGGAUGGUGCGGAAAUGGCACAGCCUGGAAAAAUGGCAGCAGAGGGAUUUUUAUUAGCUGUGCAAUCUUGGGAACGUUUCUUCUUUAUUUCGAGCCUUAAUUUCUCAUUCAUCAAAGAGAGGGGACUUAAAGAUGUUUUUGCUGAUGGCUCCUGUUUUGAGAGUUGAAUCUAUUAAAGCAUCUAAACUUGGGA
This is a non-coding RNA of Rattus norvegicus (Norway rat), 812 nucleotides long. The record is from RefSeq and is a predicted model, not a curated record. NCBI's taxonomy places the organism in Eukaryota, Metazoa, Chordata, Mammalia, Rodentia, Muridae.